RNAcentral lists this ribosomal RNA (231 nucleotides) under uncultured bacterium. RNAcentral describes it as "partial 16S ribosomal RNA". It matches the Rfam family "Bacterial small subunit ribosomal RNA", at positions 125 to 353 of the family's 1533-position model. The record is from RNAcentral.
CGUGUCCUGUUGUGGGGGAGUAACUGAUCGAAAGAUCAGCUAAUACCGCAUGAGACCUGAGGGUGGAAAGCGGGGGAGUCGCAAGACCUCGCGCGACAGGAGCGGCCGAUGUCUGAUUAGCUAGUUGGUGAGAUAAAAGCUUACCAAGGCGACGAUCAGUAGCUGGUCUGAGAGGAUGAUCAGCCACAUUGGGACUGAGACACGGCCCAGACUCCUACGGGAGGCAGCAUG